UCUGUAAGAGGAUUGUGUUAGCGCCCCAUCCUAUGCGGCCAAAGGGGGAGGGUAAUUCGCGUUUUCUCCUGGAGCCUAUUAGUACCGGUCUGGCAAUGCCAGAGGAGAAGGAGAAAUGGAAUGUAGUGGACUUCCCCGGACGACCAGAUUACAGGUUUUGGGCUUUCCACCUCCAGACUGGAGUUUACCUCCAGUUACUGCCUGGCCUCCUGGCAAGCCACAAAGUCAUUGAAGAGCAUUCCUGAACCGAGGGAGGCAUGGCCCCGACUCUGGGUGUAGCGAGGGGCAGGAAGGAGGGUGCAGCGGCAGCCUUUCCUUCUCAGCCCCAGCUGGAGUUGAGCCCCAUACACACCUGCUUCCCUCUGGGUCCCCAUGGUUCCCUGUUAGGCAUAUGGGCUCACCUGGACUCCUCAUACCUCAAGCCCUGCCCCUUCCAGUGGGAUGACUCCCCUUGGCUACAGGAUGCACAGUUCCCACAACGGGUCUAUUGUGGCCGGCCUUUUCAUUCCAGAUGUCUUUGAUCUGGCCUCUAGGAGGUGGAAGUCUGCUGGAGGGCCCCACCUGGCCUUUGGGAGAAUUUCUCUGCAGAGCCUUCUUUCUGCUCCUCAGGCUGCCCCUCCUGAAGGGUUCCCCACCCACUUCUAGUCCCAGUCCCUGGGCUGCUCCCUUGUCUCCCACAUCCUCACUGGCACCACUUCCUUUCCCACACAAGGUAACUGGUAACUCAACUGAAGAAGAUGACCCUAUCUUCUGCAUCAUAAGGUGAAUAAAAGCCUCAAAUAACUUUUUGGCUGCCAUCUUUAGCUACCUCAAAGGAGAAAACAGAAAAAGGAGUACUGAUGAAGGAAGCAUCUGGUCCCUCUUGCAGAAGGAUGAAUGAUUUUAUUGGCGGCAGCUGGGUGGCAGGGCAAUACAGGCACCCAGUUGUGCCUGAACCCCAACAAGUGAAAUCUUUGUUCAUUUCCUUUUUAUACACCCAUCUGCCGCCUAAAACCUGACACCAUUUAAUGGUGCCCUUGGUCAAAUCUAAAUGCUUUUACUUUCAUAAUCCUCUGAUUCUAUCUUGAAGAGUCAAGAUGAACUCUAACUCAUGGGAUGGACAAAAUGGAAGAUGUAAAUAAGUAAGCUUUUCAGAGCUAAAAAGCCUCUUUUUAUACAAAAUUAAACUUUAAAAGUACAUUGACCUCGAAACAAUAUAAUUGUCUUGGAUAUGCAAGAAAAAUAGCAGUAUAAAUAUUUAGCAUCAUACCCACAAUGAACAUCUGUGGCUACCCAACCUGUUCAUAUGCCUCAUUAAUUAUAGGCCUUACUCUGAAUGUUUCUUGUUCUAUCUUUGUAUUCCCACCAGCCAAGGAGUUCUUUUAUAAAUUAUAACAUUCCCCAUAUGUGCAAUGCUAAUAUAACUUGUGGAGGGAGAGAGAAAGCCUUUCUCUCCUAUUCCUGAAAAAUCACUGACCUAUUCCUUGAGUCUAUGAGUAAUAACUCCCUACUCAGUCCCUAAAACUAAAAAGUUUGAUCAGCUUCAAAGUAGGUUAAAAAAAUGUGUUGAAGUGGUAGCUGACAAGAAUUCACUGUAACCAGAACUGUGUGAUGGAUAAUGCAUAAUAUGAAAUAAACCUUUAUACAAAAAUAGUUCCUUAUAAUGUUACCUAUCAUGAGAGUUUUCAGUAAAAUUGUAAAUUAUGCUGCUGGUAUAUGUUGACCAAUGAAAGACAGUAACGAAACUACAUUACCAAUUACUAAAAGUUUAUACAUACAUAAAAUAAAAGUUUUUAACAUCUUCA
Long non-coding RNA from Herpailurus yagouaroundi (jaguarundi), 1784 nucleotides. RefSeq lists it as uncharacterized. The transcript has 2 exons. The record is from RefSeq and is a predicted model, not a curated record. NCBI's taxonomy places the organism in Eukaryota, Metazoa, Chordata, Mammalia, Carnivora, Felidae.